AACGCACCUUGCGCUCCUUGGUAUUCCUCGGAGCACACCUGUUUGAGUAUCAUGAAAUUCUCAAAGCAAGUCUUUUGUUAAUUCAACUGGCUUUUGUUUUGGAUUUGGAGGUUUUGCAGAUUCACGUCUGCUCCUCUUAAAUGCAUUAGCUGGAUCUCUAUAAAACCGGUUCCACUCGGCGUGAUAAGUAUCACUCGCCGAGGACACUCUUGAAAAAGGGUGGCCGGAUUCAUGGAUGAACCGCUUCUAACGGUCUAUUAGAUUAGACAAACACACUUUAUGAUCUGAUCUCAAAUCAGGUGGGACUACCCGCUGAACUUAA
Molecule: unclassified non-coding RNA, 322 nt
Filed under: uncultured Ceratobasidiaceae
Lineage: Eukaryota; Fungi; Basidiomycota; Agaricomycetes; Cantharellales; Ceratobasidiaceae
Description: sequence contains ITS2
Source: RNAcentral